AGUGAACGCUGGCGGUAGGCCUAACACAUGCAAGUCGAACGGCAGCACACUAAGAGCUUGCUCUUACGGGUGGCGAGUGGCGGACUGGUGCGGAAUACACCGGAAUCUACUUUUUCGUGGGGGAUAACGUUAGGAAACUUACGCUAAUACCGCAUACGACCUACGGGUGAAAGCAGGGGAUCUUCGGACCUUGCCCGCUUGAGUGAGCCGAUGUCGGAUUAGCUAGUUGGCGGGGUAAAGGCCCACCAAGGCGACGAUCCGUAGCUGGUCUGAGAGGAUGAUCAGCCACACUGGAACUGAGACACGGUCCAGACUCCUACGGGAGGCAGCAGUGGGGAAUAUUGGACAAUGGGCGCAAGCCUGAUCCAGCAAUACCGCGUGGGGGAAGAAGGCCUUCGGGUUGUAAAGCCCUUUUGUUGGGAAAGAAAAGCAGCAGGUUAAUACCCCGCUGUUCUGACGGUACCCAAAGAAUAAGCACCGGCUAACUUCGUG
RNAcentral lists this ribosomal RNA (492 nucleotides) under uncultured bacterium. RNAcentral describes it as "partial 16S ribosomal RNA". It matches the Rfam family "Bacterial small subunit ribosomal RNA", at positions 29 to 507 of the family's 1533-position model. The record is from RNAcentral.